Molecule: ribosomal RNA, 1254 nt
Filed under: Triticum aestivum (bread wheat)
Lineage: Eukaryota; Viridiplantae; Streptophyta; Magnoliopsida; Poales; Poaceae
Description: partial small subunit ribosomal RNA
Source: RNAcentral
AUGCAGACCGAUGUCGACAGAACAAUACGGCGGCGGCUGGAUUCUUCGGAUCGGCAGAUCACGCCGCCGCCGGCGCAGCUGCCGGACGACCUGAUCCACUACAGCAUCCUCGCACGCCUCCCCUUCCGGCUGCUCCUCCGCCUCGCCCCCGUCUGCAAGGCGUGGCGCCACCUCAUCCUCCACGACCCCGUCUUCACCCGCGUGCAGGCGCAGUGCCCCUCGCCGGCCUCCGGCGUCCUCGCCCGCUUCCACCAGGGCCGGCUCGAGGUCCUCACCCCCGGAGCCGCGGCCGCCGCCGUCGCCCCGCCGGACGCCGGCCUCCCCUUCUUGCCCGUCGUCGACGCGCACCGGCAGCACCUCCGGCUCUGCUCCACCACGAGCGGCCUUCUUCUUGUCACCACCGGCAGCACCUUCUGGGUCGUCAACCCCGCGACCCGCGCGUUCCGUGAGAUCCCCUACGCCGGCGAGGGCGCCUUCAGGGCGUGCCUCGCGUACGACCCGGCGACGGCGCCUCAGGAAAGCUACCACCUCGUCGUCCCCGCCCGGGUAAACAUGGAGCUGUGGAGGUUCUGGAUCUUCUCCUUCUCGUCGCUCUCGCGCGGAUGGCGCGCGUCGUGGGCGACCGUGCGGAUGCCGCCGUACGGCGGUGUGCAGCCCAAGGCUUUACAACUGGGCGGGCUCUCGUACUGGCUUUGCAACCGGGGCGACGUGCUCUGGUACAACUACGGCGCCGACGCGGCGGGCAAGCUGCCGCCGCCGCCGCAUGGGAAGAAGAGGCCGUCCUCCCUGGUCGACGGAGGAGGGUACAUGGAGGGCAGCAGGGAGCUGGUGGCGUGGCGCGGGAGGAUCGCGAUGGUGUCAGCGAGCCCCACCCUGCUGGCCGUGUGGGCGCUGUCGUCGUCGCCCUCCUCGGGCAAUGCCUCGCUGACGCGGUGGGAGAUGGUGCACCGGAGGAGCUGGGACGAAAUCCCUGGCAUGGCGCCCCCCGCGUCGCGCUUCCUGUGGUCGGUGGUGCCGGCGGGAGUGGACGUCGGCGCGGAGGUCUUGGGCCUGGCGGUGCGGAUCGGGUACAGGCAGCGCCGCGGCCACGGCGUGGGUGGUGGUGUUGACAACGAGAAUGUGUGGCGUCGCGAGGUGUUGCGGUACGACAUGCGUACCGACGCCACGGCCACGGUGGCGGAACUGGUCGGCAGGGAGAAGCACGACGACUUCGUCGUCUUCGGCUACCACUCCAGCAUGGCGCCAUUGUACUAG